GGUCCAGUGGUCUAGUGGUUAUGAUUUCUGUCUCACACACAGAAGGUCCCCGGUUCGACCCCGGGCUGAACCA
Pholiota conissans is the source of this 73-nucleotide non-coding RNA. The record is from the annotation of a GenBank genome assembly. Lineage: Eukaryota; Fungi; Basidiomycota; Agaricomycetes; Agaricales; Strophariaceae.